CAUUGGUUGCGAUUGUCGGAGCCACCAUGCUGUUCGCUAGGCCGUUGAGAACCUUGCACCCUUUACACACCGCCUUCUCCUCCUCCAUAUCAUACCCUCCAUCUCAUCCAUCCUUUCCCCUUGUAAGCUCCUCAAACCCUAAUUCCUCUUCCAGCUGUUGUUCUUCAAGUUCCAUCUUGGAGAAAUUGAGUUUUUGUCUGUGUGAUUUAUGCAACAGAGGAAUGGAUUCCGAUAGAGAAGUUGGGGAGAGAAGUGGUGGAAGUCUAUGUCAAGGAUCAAAAGUUAAAAGCGCUAGAGGUUUUCUUCCAGUUCAGGAGUCUUUGUGGGAAGAGAAAGUGUUGGAAGGAGAGAUCACUUAUGCUGCAAUAUGUGAUUGAAUCUGGGAUAAAGAAUUUGGUGCUGGGAUGUUCAUCAUUUAGUUGGAUCAGGAGAAUUUUAAACAAUUACCGACGGGUGAAGAGCCCAGCGGUACCCCGGGUCCCCUCAUGUUGAGGAGGCGCAAGUUCGAUUCCCAUGAAUCGCGCUCCCCGCUUUUCAAAGGGUGAAAACGUGGUGGCGAUACCCCUGCCCCACGUACGCCCCUGAGGGUUGGCUCUUGUCGCCCUACCUC
Long non-coding RNA from Dioscorea cayenensis subsp. rotundata (Guinea yam), 610 nucleotides. RefSeq lists it as uncharacterized. Lineage: Eukaryota; Viridiplantae; Streptophyta; Magnoliopsida; Dioscoreales; Dioscoreaceae. The transcript has 3 exons. The record is from RefSeq and is a predicted model, not a curated record.